This 253-nucleotide ribosomal RNA is filed under the name uncultured bacterium. Its description in RNAcentral is "partial 16S ribosomal RNA". It matches the Rfam family "Bacterial small subunit ribosomal RNA", at positions 524 to 776 of the family's 1533-position model. The record is from RNAcentral.
UACGAAGGGGGCUAGCGUUGUUCGGAAUCACUGGGCGUAAAGCGCACGUAGGCGGAUUGUUAAGUCGGGGGUGAAAUCCUGAGGCUCAACCUCAGAACUGCCUUUGAUACAGCACAUCUGGAGUCCGGAAGAGGUGGGUGGAAUUCCUAGUGUAGAGGUGAAAUUCGUAGAUAUUAGGAAGAACACCGGUGGCGAAGGCGGCCCACUGGUCCGGUACUGACGCUGAGGUGCGAAAGCGUGGGGAGCAAACAGG